This 513-nucleotide ribosomal RNA is filed under the name uncultured bacterium. Its description in RNAcentral is "bacterial SSU rRNA". It matches the Rfam family "Bacterial small subunit ribosomal RNA", at positions 8 to 518 of the family's 1533-position model. The record is from RNAcentral.
AGAGUUUGAUCCUGGCUCAGGAUGAACGCUGGCGGCGUGCUUAACACAUGCAAGUCGAACGAAGCAUUUUACCGGAACAUUUUCGGAUGGGAAGUUAAAAUGACUGAGUGGCGGACGGGUGAGUAACGCGUGGAUAACCUACCAUAUACAGGGGGACAACAGUUGGAAACGACUGCUAAUACCGCAUAAGCGCACAGUGCCGCAUGGCACGGUGUGAAAAACUCCGGUGGUAUAUGAUGGAUCCGCGUCUGAUUAGCUAGUUGGUGAGGUAACGGCCCACCAAGGCAACGAUCAGUAGCCGACCUGAGAGGGUGACCGGCCACAUUGGGACUGAGACACGGCCCAAACUCCUACGGGAGGCAGCAGUGGGGAAUAUUGCACAAUGGGCGAAAGCCUGAUGCCAGCGACGCCGCGUGAGCGAAGAAGUAUUUCGGUAUGUAAAGCUCUAUCAGCAGGGAAGAAAAUGACGGUACCUGACUAAGAAGCCCCGGCUAACUACGUGCCAGCCGCCGC